RNAcentral lists this long non-coding RNA (23423 nucleotides) under Prunus persica (peach). Its description in RNAcentral is "long non-coding RNA (PPER_LNC008207)". The record is from RNAcentral. Lineage: Eukaryota; Viridiplantae; Streptophyta; Magnoliopsida; Rosales; Rosaceae.
AGUAGCUAGUAGGAAUUAUAUCCCAACAAUUCAACAAGAACGAACAAAGUAGUGAUAUUCUCACUCUCAUAGCAAUACUACAAAUAAUAGGACAAAACAAUAUUUGUAAACACACGAGUGGUCCAUAUAGUUCUCCAGAAAUCCCUAAAAUAGAUCUUGCAUCUAGGUAUGCAACACCACAUGAAAGGCCCAUACCAUAUGUGAUUAUGAACCUUUAUUUAACUACAUAUAGAUAUAGUAGUACAACAAAUAUUACUGUCCGGCUGGGAAACGAAACCGUCAAUAUGCCACUGACAAUAUGCCGAUAUAAUUGUCGCAAACAAAACGUACUCACAUGUUAUCGAUACAAUUUCACCAAUAUUAACGGACAUAUAUUAUUUCAACAAUGUCGAUGCACACAACCUUUAUUUAAUAAAGAACUGAUGGCUUGCAUAGAGAACUUCUGAGAUAUUCAUCAGAGACAUAUAUGUAUACACCAUUUUUAUUAAGGGGUGGUGGUUAUUGAAGGUGGAGAGAACGGAAAUAUGGGAGUUGAUGGGAAAUUUGGAAGUGAAGUAAUAAUAGGGGGAGGCAACCUAUAUUCUGGCCAUAAAGGUGCGGGGGUCAGAGGAGGAAACUUCAGGUUCCGAGGAGGAAACUUCAGGUUAGGGAUCUUAGGCAGCUUAUAAUGAGGAAAGGUAGGGGCUAAGAGUUUUCGAGGAGCGGCGAAAGCUAAAUGUGUGCUUGAAAGUAAUGAAGCGACGACAAAGAUAGCUAUGACAAACGAUUUCCAAGUGGCCAUCUUAGUGUGUGGAAAUAAAGCUGAUGAAAUUUGAUGUGGACGAGAAGACCAGCCUAUGGUUAUAAUUUAUAACGUUGAUUCCAUUGGGAACAAGAACAACCCCAUUUAUUUUUGGUUUUAAAUGCUGUAAAAUUCUGUUGAAAAAUAAAAAUAUGUCAGAUGCCGGUAUGGGUCAAAAUUUAGAAUAGGAUAGUACUAAUUUGUAGUUUUCCAUUAAAAGUCUCGCAGUUGGUAGGUACACCUAUCAUUGUCUUGGUUUCUAUUUUGCUUUGCCAUGCCAUUCUUCACAAAGAGAUAUGCCAUUUUUCUCGUUCUUCUUGAAAAGGAAAGGUUGAUAGAAUAAUUAAUCUCAAAGAUAAAAUAGACUUUGGCUGGAAAGGGAUAAUGAAAUGAUUGAAAAAGGCGAUGCGGCCCUUUGUUGUUUUGUUGCCGAUAACAAUAUAUAUAUAUAUAUAUAUAUAUAUACAGAGAGCUUUCAUUGAGGGAUCCUUCAAAUAAGCUUAUUUGAGGGACACCCCUUGUAGGCCCCAUUCCGGAUUGUAUUUCACUAAUCCAAACCGUCUAUUUUGUACAUACUCAUUCAAAGAUCAUCUCAACAAAAAAUCACUUGAAUCCGAUAUUAUUUGACCACUCAAUUAAGCUAUUGAAAUUUUAGCAUUUUCUUGAAGCAUCGUAUUCUUUGAUUUUGUAAGACACAAUUGGAUGUCGAAAUGGUUUCCGAUUUGUCUAAUUUUUUGUAAGGAUGAUCUAUGAAUAAAGACCUAAAAAAUAGAUGGUUUGGAUCAUUGGGAAAAAAAAUUGUGGGGUACCCUAAGGGGUGUCCCUCAAAUAAAAUUAUUUGAGGGAUCCCUCAAUAGAAGGGGACUGAUAUAUAGAGAGCUUCUAUUGAGGGAUCCCUCAAAUAAGCUUAUUUGAGGGACACCCCCUUGUAGGCCCCAUUCCGGAUUGUAUUCACUAAUCCAAACCGUCUAUUUUGUACAUACUCAUUCAAAGAUCAUCUCAACAAAAAAUCACUUGAAUCCGAUAUUAUUUGACCACUCAAUUAAGCUAUUGAAAUUUUAGCAUUUUCUUGAAGCAUCGUAUUCUUUGAUUUUGUAAGACACAAUUGGAUGUCGAAAUGGUUUCCGAUUUGUCUAAUUUUUUGUAAGGAUGAUCUAUGAAUAAAGACCUAAAAAAUAGAUGGUUUGGAUCAUUGGGAAAAAAAAUUGUAGGGUACCCUAAGGGGUGUCCCUCAAAUAAAAUUAUUUGAGGGAUCCCUUAAUAGAAGGGGACUGUAUAUAUAUAUAUAUAUAUAUAUGUUAUAUUGUUGUUUGGGUGUGGUCUCCAAUUCCAAGUCAAGUCACGUCAAGUCAAUGGUCUCAAUUUCAAGCCAAGUUAAUAGACUCAAUUUCAAGCCAAGUCAAGUGGUUCCAAUUUCAAACUAAGUCAAGACAGACUCAACUUCACAAGAAAUUAUUAUUUACAAUGAAAGUAAAUAAAUGAAAGACCAAGGAGUUUUGGUUGGGAUUUCACUCAAAGGCGAACUAGUGGCCCAUGGAUUCUCUCUCUCUCUCUCUCUCUCUCUCUCUCUCUCUCUCUAUAUAUAUAUAUAUAUAUAUUUAAUACGAAGGAGUAAGAAGUCAUAUGAACUUUGGCCAAGUUUCUUGAAAAUGCCAAAUUGCCUAAAGAUCUUUAGGCAAAAAGAUCUGAUGAAAGUUCGAAGGCUAACUUUAUGGCUUUAUACUAUCUAUAUAAUAAUAUUUAAACUCAACAUGAUGCAGAUGGACUCAUUAGAAUUCUAAAUCACCCAACAUCAGUGGAUUAUGUUUAAUCAAAACUAGAAACUCCGGAAACCAUGAUGUCUCACCAGAAGAAAAUAAUGCCCUGUUGAAACUGGUGAGUUCGUACUCCAUUGGUACGCUGAGAAGGCUAGACAUGCUGCAGGUUUCUAAUGAAAAGAUUCUGGGAGACCAGGAGAGACUCAUGGCUAAGCUUAAGAGGCGCCAUUCUCUUCCUUCAGAGGCUUCCAGAACAUAAUGUAAUCUUUUAGAUUUUACAGAGCCUGCACCUUUAUUGCAGGUGGAAAAUCUAUCUGUUGUAUGCCUUCUUUCAUGUUAUAAUAAUUGUGCAAAUUCUUAAACUUGCACCUGUGGUUUUUACGUCUUUUCAAAAUGACGAUUUGGAACCUUGUGUCUUAUAGGUUCAAGUAACCACAUCAAAUCUCUCAAAUUACAUAUUUCAAUGCAUGUGAGCCCGGAACUUCUGGCUCGGGCUAAACACGACCUCAGAAUUUAUUCGCCCUUUUCAAAUAUGCAUGAAAUAUGAAUUGAGGAAAAGUCAUGAUAAUAUUGUAAUAUAGUAGUGAAGAGCAUUAACUACUAUAUAAUCAAAACUUCAGGUUCAGGACUUUUCAUAUAUUGGGAUCAAUGGGCUUCUAGCCCAGAUCAUAUAAUAUAACCAAAUAUGUGGGGAGCCUCAAUUCAUCAUUUGAGGUUUAUCCUGAUAUUAUCCAUUUCAUGGUGCAUUCUUAACAACCGGAAUUCACAAAAUAUAUUUCUUCCUUGAGGUGUCGAUUGUAACAGAAUUGAACUUUAUUAAAUUUAUCAUUUCUUAUGCCAAAGAAAUAUGUGGUGUACCACAAUUUGCAAUAAUACCUCAAGGGUUGCCCAUUUAACUAUAGGAACUUCAAGUUCUCAAUAUUGCCAUAUUUUAAACUUUAUGCCAAAAUCAUAUAUUCUUAUAGUAUGGGCAUUCAAUACUCUUAGAUUUUGAACUUCAGGCCAAAAUCACAUAUUCUCAUGGUAUGAACAUUUUUACAAUUUUCUGUAUGUAUUUUGGGACUUCAAGCACUUACAUAAUUGUCCAUAUUUUGAGAAACUUCUGGCAUCUCAUUUAAUUGCUCAUUUAUGAGUUUAAGGAACUGCAUGUUCCCUUUUGUAUAUAGUGACAAUUUACCCAAAAUGGUUAAUAUUUAUGCAUAUGUCACUAUUCAUGUAUACGAUACUAUUCAUCAAGUCAUGAAUACGUAUCUAUUCAUGUGUACAGUACAUUUGCUAGUACAGUUAUUAUUUAUGUGUACAUCACUUUUAACCAAUACGGUACUGUUGCAUCAUCAAGGAACUCUAGGUCUUUAUUUACAUGUCAAGGAUCAAGGAUCUUCAAGUCCGAUAUCUUGUUUACAAGUAUAGUAAACAAGAGAUUGUCAGCUCUCAUAUCAUUAUCAUCAUCAAGGAUCUUCAAGUCCUGAUGUAGUUGUAUGAUGGGGAUCAAAGAACUUUUGGUCCUGAUCUGUAUGCUGUAAAAACUCAUCAUACUGCACAAUUAAUCCAUAAAAUAAAUUGCUUGUAAAUAAAUUGCUUGAUGUAUGGACGUUAAUCCUGCGCCAUACCUUAAAUAAAAUUAAAUAUGCGGUAAAGUAAAUUCAUAAAUUAAAUUGCUUGCUGUACGGACGUUAAUCCCACACCAUACCUUAAAUAAAAGUAAAUGUGCAAUAAAGUAAAUUGCUUGUUGUAUUGGAGUUAAUUCCACACCAUACAAUAAUAAAGUAAAUGUGCUUGUAUGAGCACUAAUUCUGCUCCAUACUUUUAAAUAAAAGUAAAGGCAGUUGUGUGGACGAUAAACCUGCACCACACUUUUAAAUAAAUAUUGUUGUAUGGGUAAUAAACCUACACCAUACAAGAAAUAAAUUGUAUGAGUAAUGAACCUACACCAUAUAGUAAAUAAAAUAACUGUGGGAAUAAAACCACCACUAAAAAUAUAGGAAGUGAAACCGUCUAUUUUUAUUAGUUGUUAGUAAUAUGAAAGCAAAUAAGUAUAUUAUAUUACUAUCAACUUUUCAUAUCAAUAUUAUAAUUAUAUAUAUAAGAUAACCAUAUAUAAUAAAUUGACAGUUAUCGCUUCUGACAAUCGUGGAUUAUAUAUACUAGAUUAAGACUACCAUAUCAAAUAAUAUUCUAUAAAUAUCACUUGUGUAUAUACAUAUAACUUGAGUAUAUUGCCAUUUAUAUAUAUAAUAUGUUAUAUCAAAACCAAAAAGUUAAUGAUGCUUUAAUAUAAUAUAUAAAGCAACCAUAUAUCAAAAGGAAUCAUGGCCGACAAUGAAUCAUUGCAUAUGUGCAUGUUUUCAACUUUGUUGCUUUCACUCCUGCCAUUAGCACUCAAACUGUUUGUAUAAUCAGCAUAUAUAUAUAAGGUAGCAUUGAAUAAUGUAAAGUAUUAAUAAACGAAGAAGAUGAAAAAAUAGUGAGCUUAUCAUGUUUUGGUGGAUUUGCUCGUAUAUCUCUCUAGCAGACCACAGCUCCUUCUCUUUUCUUCCUUACAUCAACACAAUGAUCAGUAGUAUAAAUAAUAGUGCAACACAAAAAUUAUACAUGAGAGCUUCUCGUGCUAAUAACGUGUUAUACAAUAACUGGAAUAUGUGCGAAUAUUGAGCUGCACGUAAAGUGGAUGAGAAACAGUAACUUUUCCACUAUGUAAAAUAAUAGGGCUACAACUUUAGUGUUUACAAUAUAUGUAGCUCACUAAUUUUUCUCUCUUGGAGAAUUUCUCUCCUCUCACCCACUCUCUUUCUUUCUUUUCUUUCCUUCCUCUCUGCCUGACUCUCUUUCUUCUCUCAGUUGGAGUCUUCACCAAAGGAAGGGGGGAAGCCUUAUUUGUAGGCAGAAUUUUGUGGCUGCUUACUCAUUUCUCUUUGGCUUCACGUGGGUGUUGACAAGCAUCAUCAUUACUCUUCAAUUAAUUAGGUAGUGUGCUCUACCAUUUUGGCCUCCACAUUCUUGACUUUACAACAAGUAUAUAUUUUAAUAUGGAGGAGUAAGAAGUCACAACUUUGGCCAAGUUUCUUGAAAAGGACAAAUGGCCUAAAGAUCUUUAUAAAAAAGAUCUAAUGAAAGUUCGAAGGCCACCUUUAUGGCCUUAUACUAUCUAUAUAAUAUUAUUUAGACUCAACAUAUAAGGUAUAAUCAUAGUCUAAAAUAUCGAUAAUAUCGACGAAAUUAUCAUUUUUUCGAGUCACAAAUAUUUGGAACGUAUCCACACAUAUCGUAUAAAUAUCGAUAAUAUCAGAAAAUAUCGAUGUCGAUAAUUGUGCUCACUCACUACUACAAAAAAGGAAAAAGACGACGGUAAAUCACCGUCGUGUAUUCGAUUUUUCAAUGGUCGUGGAAUCCACCGUCAUCUUUUCCCUCAUAUACCACGACGCUAAAUCACCGUCGUUGUUAAAAUAUACAACGUCAUCAACAAAUACAAAACGACGUCUUUGUACUGCAAAAAGAUCUAAAAAAGCAGUCGAGGAUGAGAAUAGACGACCAACUCUCUAAAAAAACCGUCGUUAAAAAGGAAAAAUAUGACACAUAUUAAGAGAACAAGGCCGCAAGAUAGACAUACAACGACGGAAAUAAAACAACGACGCCGUUAAAUAUCAUUUUCACGACAAUAAAAAAUUUGACGUCUUUAAAUACAUUAGAAGACGACGUUAUUGAUACCUACUACGUCGCAUAUAUAAAAACAGCCGUCGUAAAAUUAAUUUUCCACUUCGAUUUUUCGAUAAAAGAUGACGUGGAAAUAGUUGUCAGUGUCAUUAUUUACGACGUAUGUAUUUAUUGAGUAGACGUUGAAAAACUAAACAACGUCGGUUACAAAUAUAUGAGAGUCGUAUUACAAAAUUUAUACGUCAUAUUUUCAGAAACAAACAACGACGAUAAAUAUUAGACGUUGUUAAAUAAAACAACGUCGGAAAACAAUAAAAACAGACGUGUUUAGUCUGCUAAAGUUCUAGAAAAUAGUCGAGGAUGAGAAUAGACGACCAACUCAAACAAAUCACCGUCGUUAAAAAGGAAAAAUAUGACACAUGUUAAAAGAAAAAGGCCGCAAGAUAUACAUACAACGACGACAACUAAAAUUUUACGCCGUUAAAUAUAAUUUACACGACAAGAAAAAAUAUGACGUCUUUAAAUACAUGAGAAGACGACGUUAUUGAAAUAUACUACGUCUCUUAUUUACAAACAACCGUCGUGAAAUAAAUUUUCCACUUCGAUUUUUCUAAAAAAGAUGACGUGGAAAUAGUUGUCAGUGUCAUUAUUUACGACGUAUGUAUUUAUACAGUUGACGUUGAAAUGCGAAACAACGUCGGUGGCAUUUAUAUAGUCGACGUUGUAUUUAUAUCUAUCAUCAUUACUCACGACGCACUUAAUAAUAUAGACGACGUUGAACUUCUAAACAACGUCGGUUCCAAAUAAAUGAGAGCCGUAUUACAGAACAUAUAGACGGCGUUGAUUAUGAUGAGAGCCGUAUUACAAAUAACGUCGUUUAAUUGUUAUUAGACGGCGGUUAUAAUGAAUUUCCGUCGGAAUUCAUUUCGUUCCUCUUCGUUUAUAAAAGAACUUGCGACGUGGAAAAUGUAUGAUGACGUCGUAUUUUUUAACGUUCAGAUUAUAUAUCUCGUUUUUUAGACGUCGGUAUUAUGGGAUUGGAGUCGUGUUAUUUUGAAUUACAUGGCGGUUCUUAAUCCUUCCCCGACGUGAUAUCCUGAUUAAUUGCUUCACAAUUGCGUCGUGGUUCUUCAUUGUUACGUUGCUUUAAGACGUCGGUAAAUAUGCUGAAUAACUGGUUCACAAUAACGUUGUGUUUUAUUUGAACGUAGAAAGUGAAGAAAUCACAUUACAAUAUAUUACAAAAUUAAUGUCAUACACUGCCAAUUACAUAAGCAUCAUUCAAUCCAUAUAUCUUCACACCCAUCUCGAAUAUUUUGACCGCCUAACUCACCCACCAGUUCAUCAAAUGUGUCAACAUUUGGCAUCCCUCUAGUAAAUGGCUCACACUCAAUUAUCACAUCACCUAAGACUUCAUCACCAAUAACAUCAUUAUAUUCUCUAUUAGGCAUUGAUAACACUACCGACCAACCACGAUGCAUCGGGUCGUCAACAAAAAAUAUUUGUUUGACUUGAGAAGCCAAAACAAAUUGGUCAUUCCUAUGUCCAAUUUUACUCAAAUCUACAAGGGUAAAUCCAAGUUCGUCGACUACAAGACCAGAACUAUCUAUCCAAUCACACCUAAAGACUGGGAUUGUAAACUUUUGGUAGUCAAGGUCCCAAAUUUCUUGAAUGACACCAUAGAAACCCAUAUUUGAGAGAAUUGGGUUUUUAUCCUUGGCACUAGCAACUUGCAUGGUAUGUGCAAGUAAAUAAACUCCACUAUUUUGAGUUGUCCGCACAUCAUCUUGUGCCUUGAUAUUGAAUUUAAUACCUUUAAUAAGAUAGCUCCUAUAUAAUGGCACUGACAUGUUUGGACCAGCUGCUAGCCACCUUAAAUUUUCUGAUACGCCAUGAUUGUCUUCCUCAAGUUCACUUUGAACCUGCAAAUUAAUCAUAUCUUAAUUCAAUCUAACAUAUAAAUAAGAAGAAAAUUAAAAGAGAAAUAUGUUAUUCAACAAUAUAUACCUUGAAGCGUAGCCAUUGAAUGAAAGUGCUAUUGUGCUUAUCCUGCAGCCACUUUGUUCUCUUUCUAAAUUUUGGAUAAGCAGUCUUGAUGUGAAUCAUAUGUUGCCUACAUGACACGAAAAAUUCAAGCAUUACGGUCCUAAAUAUAGAAGAUAAACAUAAGAAAUAAUUUAAAAUGGAAACUUAAAGAAUAAAGCUCAUACGUACUCGAUAUAAGGUAGGACUUCCUCCGUAUUCUCCAAGACAUAUAGAUGUGCUUGAUUCAACAGGUCCUGAUCAACUACGCUCACUGUGCAACCUGAUAAUGGCUUUGAAAGUCCCAUCUUUUGGCUUGAAGGCACUCCAACUGUACUAACAUCAGAUAAAUGCUGAGUACAACACUCUACCGCUUCUUCAGCUAUAUACCGCUCAGCAAUGCAACCUUCGGGACGAGUACGAUUCUGAACAUACCCCUUCAGCACUUUCAUAUAUCUUUCAAACGGAUACAUCCACCUAAAAUAUACUGGCCCACAUAGACGAACUUCUCUGACAAGAUGUACUACUAGAUGAACCAUGAUAUCAAAGAAUGAAGGGGGAAAGUACUUCUCAAGCAAACACAGAGUAACUACUACAUCUUCUUCCAACUUAUCUAGCUUGGAAACAUCAACAGUCUUUGCACAUAUAGCAUUGAAGAAGAAGCACAAACGAGUUAUUGCAUACCUUGCAGGCUUCUCCAAAACAGAACGAAUUGCCACAGGGAGCAAUUGUUGCAUUAAGGUAUGACAAUCAUGUGAUUUAAGGCCAAGAAGUCUUGAAUCUUGUAAAGAUACAAGAUUUUUAAUAUUUGAAGAAUAACCUUCAGGGACCUUCAUACCAUAGAAAGAAUUGCAAACCUCUCUCUUCUCUGCUCUUGACAAAUUCCAAGGCCCAGGAGGCAAACGAGUACGUCUUUCUCCAUACUCGGGUUGCAAAUCAGUUUUGACCCCCAUGUUCAAUAAAUCUAAUCGAGCAGCAAUCCCAUCUUUAUUUUUUCCAGGGAUCUCCAGCAAUGUACCAAUGAUACUAUCGCAAACAUUCUUCUCAAUGUGCAUAACAUCUAGGGCAUGCCUCACAGGAAGGUAUUUCCAAUACUCGAGAUCAAAGAAUAUUGAUUUCUUCUUCCAACAAACUCUGUCACCAUUUUCAACCAUAUGCAGCACUUCUUCUCCGGUUAAUGGCUCGGGAGGUAUGCCAUAUUCAGGUUUCCCAUUAAAAGCUGCACGUUGCCUCCUAUAUGGAUGAUUGAUUGGUAACCAUUUUCUAUGCCCAAUGUAACAAAUUUUGUGGCCAUUUUUCAACCUGUGACUAGGUGUAUCAUCGCCGCAUAUUGGACAAGCUUUAUAUCCUUUAACAACAGAACCAGAUAAGUUUCCAUAGGCGGGGAAAUCAUUAAUUGUCCACAUUAAUGCAGCUCUGAGUGUAAAGUAUUCUCCAUUAUGUGCAUCAUACACUCCUCUAAUCCCAACCCACAAGGAUUUUAAAUCAUCAAUCAAAGGCUCCAAGUAGACGUCUAUAUCAUUUCCGGGUUGUUUAGGACCGGAAAUCAAUAAGGUUAACAUCAUGAACUUUCGUUUCAUGCACAGCCAUGGAGGGAGAUUAUAUGUAACUAAGAUAACCGGCCAACAACUAUAUCUGCUACUUAGAGAACUGUGGGGAUUGAAUCCAUCAGAUGAAAGAGCCAAUCUCAAGUUUCUCGGCUCAUUACCAAACUCAGGCCAUUUAUCAUCAAGAAGUUUCCAAGACGGGGAAUCCGCCGGAUGAGACAUCUGACCGUCAAUUGAUUUUCUAGCAGCAUGCCACCAAGUCAAACUCUUAGCUGUCUCAUGUGAUUGAAACAUCCUUUUAAACCUUGGAAUUGGGGGAAAAUACCACACCACCUUCGCUGGCACACCCUCUUUCAAGAUUGAAUCUUUGCCUUCCUUCCACCUUGAGAUACCACAAGUAGGACAAUUAGUUGAAUCCUCAUACUCCUUCCUAUACAAGAUGCAAUCAUUGGGGCAUGCGUGCAUUUUCUCAUAACUCAGCCCCAAUGCACACAAAGUCUUUUUAGCCUCAUACAUGGAGGUUGGUAUUGUAUUUCCUUCUGGAAGCAAAUCGCCUUGAAGUAUCAAUAAUUCUGUAAAACAGACAUCACUCAUCCCAUGUUUUGCCUUCAAAUUAUACAACUUCACUAAUGCCGAUAACUUCGUGUACUUUCUACAACCAGGGUACACUGGUUGAUCUCCAUCCCCAAUCACAUUGGCAAACUCAUACGGAUCCGAACCAAAAUCACCAAAAUCAUUAUCAUCCAUAUCAAUUUCUUCAGACACAAAACUGUACCUACUAUGGCCAUCAUCUUCUUCAACAUUUCUACUAGCAUUAGUAGUUGCUUCCCAAGGUUCUCCGUGAAAUGUCCAAUUCUUAUAGCUUUGGUCAAUUCCAUUAAAGUAUAAGUGAUCCCUUAUAAUUCCAACCCCAAACAACUUCAAAUUAACACAUUUAACACAUGGACAACGGAUAUGUGUUGUAGUUAGAAGAUUUUCUACAGCAAAGUUCAAAAAUGCUUCCACCCCAAAUUCAUAUGCCUUCGAUCUUCUAUCCGAGUGCAUCCAUGACUUAUCCAUCUCCGACACUAUAACCUAUUAUCUAUAAUAAAGUGAAAAUACAGGCAAUGACCAUCACUAUAGCAGAUUAUAAAAUGAUCUAAUCGCAAGUAAUACACAACAGAGACGACGGGUUUUAAACAAAAACAGACGUAUUUGGCAUAUAUAGACGACGGAUUUUCAACAGACGUCGUCUAUUAUAAGUAAUACAAACGACGGUUUAUGAAAAAACCGUCGUGUAUAAGUAAUACAACGACGGUAGUUUAAAAAAAUCGUCGUGUAAUCGUCGUCGUAAGCCUUAAAAUUCGUCGUGUCUCAGUUUAUUUUCAAGAACACAAAACCCAUUAAGAACACAACAUAUAUAUGAAACCAAGCAAGAAACCAACAUAUACAUGAAACCAAGCAUGAAAACAAUAAAUCCAUUCCCAAUUCAACAUAACAGAUAAUCCAUGAACCCAUUAAACAGAAAAUCCAUGAACCCAUACCUAUAAGCACAUUAUUAACAGAUCGCAAAGCAUACACAUAAAACCCUUUAACAAAACAACCUAAUAUAACUCGAAUCGUUACUAGAAUCAUCACUCGAAUCCCCAUCUUCAUUAUCAGUUUCUUCCUUCGUAGGUACUAUUUGCUCCCCAUCAUUUUCUCCAUAGCGGAAAAUGACAAGAUCAAAUAAAGGUGUACUUUUGCUGGAAAUCAUUUGGAAGUUGGUGAUCUGUGUCUUUUUGUGUUGAUUUCCAGCAAAAGUACACCUUUAUUUGAUCUUGUCAUGAACCCAUUAAACAGAAAAUCCAUGAACCCAUACCUAUAAGCACAUUAUUAACAGAUCGCAAAGCAUACACAUAAAACCCUUUAACAAAACAACCUAAUAUCAUUCAAUGAAUUUACAAGGGGAAGAUAGGGUUUAUACUUACAGGUUGGACGAGCUCACAGAUUCGACGGAGCCUGGAGAGUGCAACUUUUAAUUAGAGCAGAAGUGAGAGAGCGAAAUGUUAUGUCGCGCGAAAUCUGAAAAUUUAAGGUUUCAGGGUUCGAAGUAUAAGAAUAAGAGCCAAAUCUAAAAAAAUUUAGGUCGCGCGAAAAUUUUUAGAGUUCGCGCGUUUUAAAACGUCGAAAGAAAAACCAAGGCGAAAGUUCUACACGUACCGACGUAAAUUUAAUAUUCCACGACGGAAACUUCAUUUUUCGGAUUAAGAACGUAAGGCCGUUCAUUUUGAAGCUUCAUUUUUCGGAUUAAUUUUAAAUUUAUUUUGAAUUUUUUAUAUAACGACGACUGAAAAACCACGUCGGUGUUAAGAAAUUAAAGACGUUGUAAAUUAUAUAAACCGACUUACAUAUUAAAAUGACGUCGUUUAAAGCGUAAACCAUGUCGUAUGUUUUUCUGUACGACGUAAAAUAUGUAUUCCACGACGCAACCACCGUCGUUAAAAAUUAAUACCCUAAACCCAUAAAACUAAAUUAUACAAUUUAAAAAAUUAAGUUUAUAAAAGGUUUUAUGGUUUUAAAGCCUAACAUAUACCCUAGACUACCCAAAAAUUAUACUUUAAAAAUAAACCCCAAUAAAUAACAACCCUAAUCUCUAAACCCUAGACUCUAAACCCUAAACCAUAAAACUAGAAGUGAUUUUAUGACUCAUCAAAACAAUUUUGUUUUGGAUGGUCAUUUUAAAUUUUUGUUAUUCAAAAUGAAUUUUUUCAAGGUUUAUGUGGAAGAAAAUAUAUCAAUGACUUCAUAGGAGUUGACUUUUCAAUUUUCUGAUUUAUUUUAAAUUUAUUUUGAAUAUUUUGAUAUAAAAAUAAUAAAAUAUUCUUACCACAACAACAAACCACGUCGGUGUUAAUAAAUUGUAGACGUUGUAAAUUGUAAUAGACUACUAAGUCGUUAAAAUGACGUCGUUAAAAUGAGAAACCAUGGCGGCUAUUUAACUAUACGACGUAAAAUAUAUAUAUCAACGACUUAACCGCUGUCGUUACAUAAACGUCGUCGAUGAUACCCUGAACCCUUAAGAAAUUGAAGAUGUUGUAAACCAUAAACGACUCAAUUGUUCAAAGAACGUCGUCUAACUAUAUUUUUACGUCGUAUUUGUUUAAAACACGAAACAACAAAAUACGACGGUUUGUGACUUUAUUAGGUCGUUGGAAAAGUAUUACACGUCGGUUAAGCAAUUUGUAUGUUUGUUUUUUUUUUAAUUUAAGAAAACCUCAACAAAUUUUUACAUUACAUAUUAUAGAGAAAAUUUGUACAUUAUACAUAAAUAUCAAGUGUUCAAUAAUUGCCCUGUUUAAUAAUUUGGAAAACAAACUCUGCCCAUUCAUUCCGGACUUCAUCAAUGGCUUCUUGGGGGUAUGAAGCUUCCUGGUUUCCCUUGGCAUACUGCAUAAACAAUGACUAUUAGGGUUUAUAAAUAAAAAGAAAUUCAAUCACAGACGACGAUAUUUUUCAUAACCGACGUAGUAUAUCCAUUCAACGACGUUAAUUUUACAUGACCGUCGUUGAUAAUACAAAAAACGACGUGAAAUGUAUGAAGGUAAUUUCUUCUUACCUUAUUCUCAAACCCCAAGGAAGGAUCCAUGAUGAUGUCCCUCAUGAAGCGCAUCACAUAAUACCCGCAUUCGACAUUGCUGGGUUGCUUUGGUGUGCCUGAGAGAGUUUUCCAAAUUACAUUUUUACGUCCUGCUCGGGCUAUGUGGGUAUUAUAUAUUUUUAAAGCACUGUUCACGAUGUUUUUCGCCUCUUCGUCGACCACACGAUGACCUGGCAGAGGAUCCAGAAAAUAGACGGUCUCCUUCUUUGCUCUUACAAUCAGCAAGAUCCAAUGACGGCUGCACAAAAUUAAUAUAAAAACGACGGUUAUUUACAAAAACGACGUAUUAUAGUAUUCACACGACGAAANNNNNNNNNNNNNNNNNNNNNNNNNNNNNNNNNNNNNNNNNNNNNNNNNNNNNNNNNNNNNNNNNNNNNNNNNNNNNNNNNNNNNNNNNNNNNNNNNNNNCGACGGUUUAUUUACAAAACCGACGUAUAAUAGUAUUUCCACACGACGAAAUAAAGUAGAUAACGACGACAUUAUAUAUUUAUCACGACGAUAAAUAAAUACCGACGUGGUUAGUAGUUUCAAACGACUAAAUAAAAUAAAACACCGACGUGGUUAGUUUAUAAUCUGUCAUUUAUUGAAAAUCAUAAAAACAAAAUCCUAAGGAGACUAACCCUGGAUUGUAAGGCAUCAUGAAAAUCUGUUCACCCGUCUGUCUUCUGAAGUCGAGCUGCUACCAGUCGUGAUCUUUCAGUUAUUGUGCCAGAGUUGGCACUAACUGUAGCAGGGUCGAUAAAGCCAACCAUGCUGCACAUAUUGGCUUGUUUCAAAACAUCGUGUAAGUACCUAAAUACAUAAAAUAAUAUAAACAAGUCAGCACAAACAAACAUGACGGUUAUGUAUAAAAAAACGACGUAUUAUAAUAUUUCACACGACGUACUGAAAUAGAUGAGGACGUUAUAAUAUAUUUAUCACGACGGUAGUUAGUUAAGACGACGUGGUUAGUUAGUUAAGACGACGCAAUAUAUAAACCAACGAGGUAUUAUUUUAGAAGUACAAACCUCAUAUAUACAGCCAAUACAGUAGCUCCAAUUUCUUCCAUGCCUGCAAAUUGUGUAAUAUCUUCAGGCAGGAGGAAGGUAUCGCGCUCACCACCAAACACCUCCUUAUUAAUUGUAAAUUGGAGUGUCUUAUCCUCAGGCAGGAGUGUCGUUUCCACAAAACGACAAAGGGUUUUUAAAGAAGAUGGCGCCUCCAUAUUUGAAUAAGCACCAACUUCAAUAACCUGUUUAAAGAAAUAAAAAAAAUGACAUGGUAAUUCAAUAAAGACGACGGUUUAAGUAAUAAAACGUUGUCUUAAAAGUAUUUAAACGACGGUGAAAAAACCGUCGUGGUAAUUCAAUAAAGACGACGGUUUUAUGAAUAAAGCGUCGUCUGAAACCAUUUAAACGACGGUGCAAAAAUCGUCGUUUAAAUAUUUUAUUACGUCUUAAAAAAAUUCCGCCGUCUAAGUUUUAAACAAACGACGGAUUAAAUAAAAAUAUCGACGUCUGAAAUUUUGAAAAACAAAUAAAAAAGGCAAAGUUAUGUGAACAUACCUUGUCGUCAUGCUUUUCUUCAUCUUCUUUCUCCUUUUCUUCUUCCUUCUCUUCAUCUCUUUUUUCUUCUUCCUUCUCUUCAUCUGGCUGAUGUUUCCCCAUUUUGGCAGUAUCAUCCUCCAAAUGUAGGGAUCUCACAUCACCUCCAGAGCAGCUAGCUUUGUCAGACAUUGGAUUUUUGGGGCUUUGGCUAAUUCUUGGUUUAAGCAUGCUUGGAUCAAAAUUGGGAAUUAAUUGGGAAAGCUGACUCAGGAAAUGCUCCCUCUCAGCCUCUACCAAUUGUUUUGUCCUAGCCUCCAUCCUUAAGGCCUCUUCCCUUGCCUUAGCCUCCAUCUUUUUAGUCUCUUCUUGAAGGAGAACUCUUAAACUGUCCUUCAAACGGUCGUCAAAGCUCACCCUCUGUGGUUUGGGAAAAUUGAAAUAUUGCCUUGGGGAAACACCAGCACCAACUCCCCUCAGUCUGCCUGGAUGCUCGGGGCCCAAAGCCAUGGUCAGCACAUCAUUGCUGCCAUCUACUCUGACUUUGCCUUCCGAGACUUGUUUCUGCAAUUCAUCCUAAAAAAAGAUAAACAAAAAAACACACGACGGUUAUUUAUGUACAAACGACGUAUUAUAUAAUUUCACACGACGCAAUAACGUAUAAACCGACAUUAUUAUAACUUAUCACGACGGUGGUUAUACCGACGUGGUUAUUUAUUUAAAACGACGAAAUGAAUAAACAACCGACGUCUUAUGCUAUAAUUAAAGAUAACAGAGUAGUGACUCCUAUUUAGACCGUUAACGACGUUUUUAAAAAAGUUUCGACGUGGUAAUAUCAUUCACACGACGCGAAAAUGAACCACCGACGUCUUAUGCUAUAAUUACAGAAAACAUAGUAGUGAUUCCUAUUUAGACCUUUAACGACGUUUUUAAAAACUUUUCGACGUGGUAAUAUCAUUCACACGACGCAAAAUAUAACAUACGACGUAAUAAGAAUAAUUCACAGUUUAAUACAAAUUUAAAACAGAGUGAUAGUAGGCUUACUAUUAAUUUUGCUUUCUCUGCCACCUUUGGAUCAGGGAUGUUACCAUGUUUGUCCUGUCUAGCUCUCUUCCAUAAGGUAGAUCGAUCAAUUUCUACCCCAGGCAUGGUUUCCUCCAAUUGAUCCUCCAAUCCAGCAUAUCCUUUUCGAGACAAUCGAUGAUUGUACUCGAGUUUCUCCCUAAUCUGUGCAUGUUGAGAAUGCACAGACUCAAAAUCUUUGGAUAGCCUUGAAGCUACAAAGGCAUCCCAUUGUGCUUUCUCUGUGAAUUUAUAUGUUUCAGGGGGUUGGCUUAAUUUCUCCCUGUCAUUGGUGUAUGGAAGGAUAUAAUGCCUCGUUAGUGUAGACUUGAAAUCCUUCCAUUUCUUGGAAGCAGAAGCUAAAACAGAGGUCUUGCCCCCUUGGCCUACGACAAAAGCCAUGUCAACUGCUUCCCAAAUCUGCUCCUUUAUAUCCUUGGGGAUUUGGGACCAUUUCUUGUCCACAAGUGGGAUCCUGGAGCGUGCCAACACACCAAUAUACGACUGCAUCUCAAUAUGUGCUUGGCCAACACCUUUCCCCCUUUUAUUGUACUCAACAAUUGGCCUCAGUUUCUGAAGCUUUCUCUUCACAACACGAGGCAUUGUGCUCAUACCUCGACCAGUCUUUGAAUCAUCUGAGAUUGUUGUCUGGCUGGUUUGUUCUGUCUCAGCAGAUGAUGAAGCAAACUUCAUCUUCUUCGAAGACUUCAUCUCCUUCGAAGACUUGUCUUGAGGAGCUACCAUUCCAAGCUUCUUGGAGCCAGAAUCCUUAGUUUGUUGUUGAGAAACCAUUUUAACAGACAAAACUGCAAGUGAAAAUAUUUCAGGAAAACAUUAAGAACACAAACGACGGUAUUAAAAAAAUACGACGUAUGAUAUGAUUGUAGACGACGCAAUGAAAUAAUCUCAGACGUAAUAAAUGUUUAAAACCAUUAUUUAUAUAACGUCGUGGUAUAUAUGUUCACACGACGUCAAUAGUAAUACACCGUCGUGGUAAACUAUUAUUUAUAUAACGUCGUGGUAUUUAUGUUCAUAUGACGUCAAUAGUAAUACACCGUCGUGGUAUUAACAUUCACACGACGUAAAACAAUAAGAUAUUUUGUCGUCUAUAUUAGAUACCAACCCUAGUUUCUUUUUCUUUAUAUUUUAUCAAAUAAGGGAAAAACAAAAACCAUUGUUCAGCGAAAUCAAACCUGCAAUUAAACAAGCAUAUAAAAAAAGACUAUUAUUUUAAAAACAACUUUGUCAAUUUUCAGACGACGCUAGAACAACUGACGAACCGUCGUGGUCUACCUUCGUCUUAUUUAGUUGAUGUAGUUGUCUUCAAAGUUGGAAACUUUCACUCUUUGUCUGUAUAUUUUAUCAAACUUGGAAAGAAGUAAAAUGAUUUUGGCCAGAAAAAAGGUAAAAAGAUUUUUCAAACAAAAAACGUAUGAGCAUGCAAAACAGUAACCAAAAUAGUGAAGAUGAAAGCUUACCUUUUGCGUGCAAUGAAAGCAAGAGGAAGAUGAUCGAUGUUUAAGUUCAGAGACGACGAAGAAGACGAGAGGAAGACGAUGAGAAACUCUGACAAUGCUCUGACAAGGAAAAAAGACGAAAAGGUUUCUCUGGGAGAUUGAAAUUUUUAAUCGGGUUUGGAAACAGUGCAUGUGUAAGUCGAAAAGUUGCUUACAUAUAAAACCAUUUCAAAAAAAUAAUACGGCGGUUACAUUUAACUACGUCGUUUUUAACUAAAACGACGCAAUAUUUUUCAUUCGACGUGGAAUCAUUUCAUUUAACGUCGUUAGGUUUAAUAUAACCGACGUGGAUUUUAAUUUUUAAAUUAUGAAUAGAAUUUUUUUUCCCGUGACCUUUCAGUUUAUUUUUCAAUUACAGUGCGUUAUAAAUAGAGUUUUUUUUCCGGAGGAAAUUUAAAACGAAGGAAAUUAAUAUUCUGCAAUAUGUAAAGUUUCUUUUUUGGAUGACAGAUUUAAAUAAAAUAAGAAUAUAAAAACAACAAAUGUGUAAGUCAAGUAGACGAAAAGUUGCUUACAUAUAAAACCAUUUCAAAAAAAUAAUACGGCGGUUACAUAUAACUACGACGUAUAAAUUACAAAAUACGACGGUACAUUUAACUUCGGACAUGGUAAAUAAAUACGACAGUAGUUUGUAGGUACCGUCGUAGUAAACUCAAAAAUUAAAGUACAUAAGUAAUAACUCGCGUCAUGGUAUAUUAUUUAACACGUCGUUUGUAUUAAUUUACCGACGUGGAUUUCUGUAAUAUACGUCGAUAAUACCGACGUUGAUUUUACAAUUUAAACGGCGGUUUUUUUGUAAGGACCGCCGUUGGUUUUAAAAAUUUAUUCUAUAAAUUUGUCGCUUUCAUUCAUUUUCGGUUUACAUUUAAGGUUCCAAGUUCUUCCUCUCUCAGUCUCUCAUGUCUCAAAGACAAUAAUUUGGAUGUUUUCUCAAAGAGAAAUUGAGCUUACUCGCAUCAAAUAUAUGUCCACAAGAAGAAGCUUGUCAACUAGCCUUCUCACUUCCUUGAUCAAGCCUGAUAGGACACUUAGUGCUUCUGAAUACUCCUUGCUUUCCAUCAAAAGAGAUGCAAGCCUGGCCUCCACUCGCUGUCGAAGGAAAGUUCGCUUCUCAGGGAAAUCUGAAGAUCAGAUGUGCCUGAUCCUCUGCUUGAUUUUCUUGCCUAAGAAGAUCCGUCGGAUUUAUUGUGAUAGCCUCUUCCUUUAUCCGUAGAGCUUCAGAAGAAGAAGAUGGGUUUCAAGAAUGCGAUAAAGAAUAGAAAUUGCUUCAGAUGGCCUCUAAAGCAUGAGCAAUUGAAUCAGUAGUUUCUGGGAGAUAUGAUGAAGACAUUGUCAAUGCUUUGAACUACACAAGUCCUGCAGAAAGAUAUGUUAAAGAAACUGAAACAACGGCGGUUUUCUGUUCUACCGUCGUCUUUUAUCGUCGUCUAUAUUAAGUUAAGAUGGCGGUAGAUUUAUAAUUACCGACGUAGAUUAUUUUGUUAAACGUCGUUAAGUGUACUACAACCGACAUGGAUUUUAAUUUUAAAUUAUAAAUAGAGUUUUUUUUCCCGUAUUCUUUCAGUUUUAGUUUUCAAUUCCAAAGCGUGAUAAAUAGAUUUUUCUUUCCCGAGGAAAUUUAAAAUGAGGGAAAUUAAUGUUCUAGAAUUUGUAAACUAACACGACGCAAUAUUUGCAAAUCAGUGUCAUCUGUUAAGAUUAUGAUGUGGAACAGAGUUCCAUCUGGUAAGAUUUCGUAACCCUUGGGAUCUCAGACAAAACUGAUUAUGUCGGCGGUGUUCUAUAUAAACCGUCGUGGUUAUUUCAAUUCUUGUCAUUAAGUAGAUCUACCGACGUAGGAUAAGAAAAUCAAAGAAAAAAAUUGUUAACAAAAAUUCUUAUUAAGACGACCGUUAAAAUUAAAGGUACGACGUAUAAAAUGAAUAAAUACGACGAUAAAUUUUAUUGUACGAUUUAAAGAUAACGUCGUAGAACUAUACGAGAAUGACGUCGAUAUAUUUAUAUUUUCCGUCGUUGUAAAUUAAUUUAAUACGGCGAUAUUUUGUAUUUUAAAGCCGUGGAUUUGUUUGUAAUUAUACGGCGUCUUAUACGAAAACCUCGUCGUGUUAUUUUAUGAGUAAAAACGGCAGUUUUUAUUGAAAUCGUCGUCUUUACUUUCUACGUCGGUCGAUUCAUAACUUCUGCCGUUCUUUGUUGGCAUUGAUUUUACACUGCGGAAAUCUGUUUCAAAUAGACGUCGGUUGUUUAAUUAUGUACGUCGUUGUUUUUGAACAGCCAUUUGAAACUCCAUUUUUUAGUUGUCUAAGGUUGUAUUACACGACGGUGUUUUUAGAACCGUCGUCUUUUUAUAAACCACGACGAUUUUCACUUAGACCGUCGUUGUUUUCUGGUCGUCUUUUUCACUUUUUGUAGUAGUGACUCUUCAGCAAUAUUUUAUCAAAAUAUCGCUAUAAUAUCGAAAAUAUCGAUGUAAUGAAAAAAAAAGAAAAAAGAAGAAGCACAAAACACACAUGCAAAGGGGAUUCAAACUCUUGCCAUUUCACUCUUUCAACGCCUUAACCACCAUGUUGCUUAUGAUUUUUUGAUAAUAUGGUAAAAUAUGUAUAUUUAUAUUCUUUUGUUUUGAACUGUUUUUGUAAGAAUCAGAUUUUCACAUGAGAAUGUGAGUCAUUGACCGUUCUUUUUGGGAUGGAAUCGAGCGGCUCACGGAAAGAAUUUAAGACCCAAAUCUUCAAAUGAUUUUGCUUAUAGACAAUGUCAAUCAAUCUCAGAUCCAUAUGGGUGACAUGUUAACAAUUACAUACAAAACUAUUUUGAGGAUUUAUCAUUUGAUGACUACUCUUCACAAUACACUUAUUCUACACAUAGAGAUGAUGAAGAUAGUGAAAAAUUUGAACUUCAUAGGAACUCUAUGUGGCACUAAGUCACUCAUGUAUCUUAGCAUGCAAGUAUAAAGUGUAAGAUAUUGUAGUAAAUUAUUAUAUAUAAAUGAUUAUGGUGUGUUUAAUCUUCUUUCAUUAAUUAUUACAUAUUUUCUAUACUCACAAUGUUCAUCAGCUUGCUAUAUAAUCAACUUAAAUCAGUUAAACCCAUCAUGCAAUGCAUUUCCUUCCAAUUUUUUGUGACUAAUAGAUAAUUGACUAAAUAAACAUCCUCCAAAGUUUCAAUAAAAUUUUCCAAGUUUUUCUUAUAAUUUACGUCGUUUUUAUUCAAUUUUCAUCGAUAUCAAUAAUAUUCAGAUAUUUCCAUCGAAUUUUCGUGUAUUUGGACUACCGAUAUUUUCGAUACCAUCGAUAUUUUAGACCUUGGGUAUAAUAUAUAUAUAUGAUAAAGAUGGACUCAUUAGAAUUCCAAGUCAUCCAACAUCGGUGGAUUAUGUUCAAUCAAAACUAGAAACUCCGAAAGCCACGAUGUCACACCAUAUGUGAAGCCAAGUCUUCAGAGGUCUAAGCCCAACCCGUGGAAGUAGGCCCAAAACCUCCUGAUGUUUUUAUGCACGUGACGAGAUCCAUCCAAGGAAAGCAGUUGAAGAAAUUGAUGUCAAUCCGGAACAUUCAUAAUGAGGAGAGAAUCAAGUGAUUAGAUUUGCAAUUCGAUAAUCUCAUUCGAAUUAAUUCCGCGGAUUUUGGAAGCUACGAAAAGAAAAUUUUUGAACGAAGUUGACCUUUUGUCAUUUGAUGGCCAACCCAUGGACUGACAGAUGCCCCUAUAUAUACCUCUUUAGAUGAAGAGCAAAGGAGACCGACAUGAGAUACAAAAACCUACUUUUUGUUUUUCACUUUUCUAUCCCUGGACUAGGUUUUUAUUUUCCAAGCAAGUAGACUAGAUUAGUUCUUCGAUUUCGUUAGUGUAAGUUUAAUUUCUUGCAUUUUCCAUUACGUUAUUUUAAGAUCCAAAUUUGUUGCUUUACUUUUAAUUGUUAUCGAUUUUUUUUUAAGUUUAAUAUAAUUUCAAAUUGCUUUAUUUUAUCAUAUUUAUCGUUCAUAUCGUUCAUAUAGUUCUUGUUUCAUUCUUACUUAAAUUUACGUUUAUUGUUGCUUCAAUCUUAUUUUUGCAUUUAUUUUCUUGUUAUUUAGUGGCUUGGUGGCUUGGUUUGCCUCAUACUAUGUAGAAGUGCAUGUACAAUUCGAUUUGAAGGGUGCAAAUUCAAGUGCAAAGAAGACACCAACGGGCACGGGUAGAGGUGGUUCAUCUGCCACAGCUGAGAAAAAAGGCGGCCAAGGUUCGGGGCUGAUGGAAAGAGAAAGAGAAGAAGAGGGAGAUGAAAGAAGAGACGUUGCCUUUCCUUCUUCCUGUAUUUGGCACGUUUUUUAAGAAAAUGUAAAUAGAUUUUUCCUCCACACAAACAUUUUUGGUAGGUCACUUGGUGAGGAACGGUAGGAUCUUCGGUUGUAGUGUUGGCUUACAGGGUUAUACUGGUGAUACUAUUGAAUUCAACUCCAAGAUUUAUCUUUUGCCUUUAGUAGCAUUUUAUUUUCAUCAAUGCACUAGAUAAUGGUUUUAGUAGAUUAACUUGUGUUUACGGUGGUUUGAUAUAGUGUGUCAGGUGACAAUUCUCACUGAGUAAUCUGAGAACCAGAGCUUCUACAAAAUCACUAACCAGUUCAUAAAAUAUGUUUGUCUUUUUCUAAUCUCACCAUGAGAAAUAUUAAUUAAUUUGCCUUAACAAAAAUAAUACAAAGUAUUGGUUUGUAUUAAACUUUGUUGGUUAAUACUUUUUUUAAUAAAAAAUUUGCUGCUGGUUAAUCUCUGGUUAAGCUUAAUAUUUAGGAGGGGUGUGUUUUCUCACACACAAAUGUCAAAGUGCCAUAAGGAUUUGAACAGAAGACUAUUAGUCUGCAAAGCAAGGUACUUUUUCACUAGUGUCCGAAUCAAAUCAUGCUUGAAGAAUACUAAUAGGGGAUUUUUCUUUCAGCUGAUAAAAGUAAAACAUCAAAGCUCAUCAUGGUGAUCGAAAACCAGAUGCAUCCAAAUUGCAAGGCAUGCCUUUCUCUUUGUGGUAGUAUAAUGAGCAUCCCUCUCAUACCCUCCAUAAUAAUCCUAAGCAUUAAUGUUGUAAAUUAGAUAAAUCCAUACAUACAUAAAACGAGCAUAAUAAGUAAUAGUAGCUAGUGGGAAUUAUAUCCCAACAAUUCAACAAGAACGAACAAAGUAGUAAUAUUCUCACUCUCAUAGCAAUACUACAAAUAGUAGGACAAAACAAUAUUGGUAAACACACGAGUGGUCCAUAUAGUUCUCCAGAAAUCCCUAAAAUAGAUCUUGCAUCUAGGUAUGCAACACCAUAUGAAGGGCCCAUACCAUAUGUGAUUAUGAACCUUUAUUUAACUACAUAUAGAUAUAGUAGUACAACAAAUAUUACUGUCCGUCUGGGAAACGGAAACCGUCAAUAUGCUACUGAUAAUAUGUCGAUAUAAUUGUCGCCAAUAAAACGUACUGACAUGUUAUCGAUACAUUUUCAGUAAUAUCGAUGCACAUAUAUUAUUUCAACAAUAUGCACAACCUUUAUUUAAUAAAGAACUGAUGGCUUGCAUAGAGAACUUCUGAGAUAUUCAUCAGAGACGUAUAUGUAAACACCAUUUUUAUUAAGGGGUGGUGGUUAUUGAAGGUGGAGAGAACGGAAAUAUGGGAGUUGAUGGGAAAUUUGGAAGUGAAGUAAUAAUAGGGGGAGGCAACCUAUAUUCUGGCCAUAAAGGUGUGGAGGUCAGAGGAGGAAACUUCAGGUUAGGGAUCUUGGGCAGCUUAUAACGAGGAAAGGUAGGGGCUAAGAGUUUUCGAGGGGCAGCGAAAGCUGAAUGUGUGCUUGAAAGUAAUGAAGCGAUGACAAAGAUAGCUAUGACAAACGAUUUCCAAGUUGCCAUCUUAGUGUGUGGAAAUAAAGCUUAUGAAAUUUGAUGUGAACGAGAAGACCAGCCUAUGGUUAUAAUUUAUAACGUUCAGAGGGAAC